This 253-nucleotide ribosomal RNA is filed under the name uncultured prokaryote. Its description in RNAcentral is "partial 16S ribosomal RNA". It matches the Rfam family "Bacterial small subunit ribosomal RNA", at positions 525 to 777 of the family's 1533-position model. The record is from RNAcentral.
ACAGAGGGGGCAAGCGUUGUUCGGAAUUACUGGGCGUAAAGCGUGCGCAGGCGGCUUUGCAAGACAGAUGUGAAAUCCCCGGGCUUAACCUGGGAACUGCAUUUGUGACUGCAUGGCUAGAGUGCGGCAGAGGGGGAUGGAAUUCCGCGUGUAGCAGUGAAAUGCGUAGAUAUGCGGAGGAACACCGAUGGCGAAGGCAAUCCCCUGGGCCUGCACUGACGCUCAUGCACGAAAGCGUGGGGAGCAAACAGGA